This 406-nucleotide ribosomal RNA is filed under the name uncultured bacterium. RNAcentral describes it as "partial 16S ribosomal RNA". It matches the Rfam family "Bacterial small subunit ribosomal RNA", at positions 30 to 526 of the family's 1533-position model. The record is from RNAcentral.
AUUGAACGCUGGCGGCAUGCUUUACACAUGCAAGUCGGACGCGUGGCGAACGGGUGAGUAACGCAUCGGAACGUACCUAGUAAUGGGGGAUAACUGCCCGAAAGGACAGCUAAUACCGCAUACUAUUCGAGCGGCCGAUGUUUGAUUAGCUGUUGGGCGGGGUAAAGGCUCACCAAGGCGACGAUCAGUAGCUGGUCUGAGAGGAUGAUCCGCCAAACUGGAACUUAGACACGGCCCAGACUCCUACGGGAGGCAGCAGUGGGGAAUAUUGUACAAUGGGCGCAAGCCUGAUGCAGCCAUGCCGCUUGUCGGAAGAAGGCCUUCGGGUUGUAAAGGACUUUUGUCAGGGAUGCGGUACCUGAAGAAGAAGCACCGGCGAACUUCGUGCCAGCAGCCGCGGUAAUUC